CAGGAGCAUCUGCUGAAGAGACAGCCUUCUUUGGAAUAUCCCAGUGCUGUCAGACAGAGGCAUAAAACUCAGUGCUGCUUCUCAUCACUUUACAAGUCCUUCCUGCACCAGAAUCAACCACAUUCUGCUCAAUCUGAGGAUAUACUGUGAAGGAACUGAGAAGUGAAGGAAGAAGACCUGCUUUUUACAUUGUUUACUGAAGGUGCAGGGACAUUCAUGGAACAACCACUAUCCUGAAGGAUGCUCUGGACCAAAAUGUUCAUUUUAUAUACAGAAGAUGCACAAAAAUAGAAUAGGAGAGUAUGUAAGAGAAAAGAUAUUUACUGUACAGUAACUGCAAUUCCUUGAGAAAAUUCCCCAAGAGGUAAGGCUGCCAUUUUUACUGUGUGAGCCUUCUCCAUCUGGUUUGAGUAGCUCUACAGGAACCUGUGUCAUGAUUCUUUACUAUGAAGAGUGCAACAAAGAAGGGUGAGAACAGUGUCUAAAACAAAGACCAGAUU
Chroicocephalus ridibundus (black-headed gull) is the source of this 500-nucleotide long non-coding RNA. RefSeq lists it as uncharacterized. The transcript is spliced from 3 exons. The record is from RefSeq and is a predicted model, not a curated record. NCBI's taxonomy places the organism in Eukaryota, Metazoa, Chordata, Aves, Charadriiformes, Laridae.